This 421-nucleotide ribosomal RNA is filed under the name uncultured bacterium. Its description in RNAcentral is "bacterial SSU rRNA". It matches the Rfam family "Bacterial small subunit ribosomal RNA", at positions 355 to 774 of the family's 1533-position model. The record is from RNAcentral.
UAAGGAAUAUUGGUCAAUGGACGCAAGUCUGAACCAGCCAUGCCGCGUGAAGGAUGAAGGUCCUCUGGAUUGUAAACUUCUUUUAUCUGGGACGAAAACGGGAUUUUUAUCUCAAUUGACGGUACCAGAGGAAUAAGCACCAGCUAACUCCGUGCCAGCAGCCGCGGUAAUACGGAGGGUGCGAGCGUUAUCCGGAUUUACUGGGUUUAAAGGGUGCGUAGGUGGGCUUAUAAGUCAGUGGUGAAAUCUCCGAGCUUAACUUGGAAACUGCCGUUGAUACUAUAGGUCUUGAAUUAUCUGGAGGUCAGCGGAAUAUGUCAUGUCGCGGUGAAAUGCCUAGAUAUGACAUAGAACACCAAUUGCGAAGGCAGCUUACUACAUAUAAAUUGACGCUGAGGCACGAAAGCGUGGGGAUCAAACA